Unclassified non-coding RNA from Papio anubis (olive baboon), 148 nucleotides. It matches the Rfam family "Metazoan signal recognition particle RNA". From Rfam's summary of the family: The signal recognition particle (SRP) is a universally conserved ribonucleoprotein. It is involved in the co-translational targeting of proteins to membranes. The eukaryotic SRP consists of a 300-nucleotide 7S RNA and six proteins: SRPs 72, 68, 54, 19, 14, and 9. The record is from Ensembl. NCBI's taxonomy places the organism in Eukaryota, Metazoa, Chordata, Mammalia, Primates, Cercopithecidae.
GCCAGGUAUGGUGGUGCAUGCCUGUAAUCCCAGCUACUCGGGAGGCUGAGACUGGGGAAUUGCUUGAACCCAGGAAGUGAAUGUUGCAGUGAGCGGAGAUCAUACCACUGCACUCCAGCCUGGGUGACAGAGUGAGACUCUGUCUCAA